UCUGCCUCGAUUUUUUUAUCGUUGGCCUCAGAUC
This 34-nucleotide ribosomal RNA is filed under the name Pyrgus sidae. RNAcentral's name for it is "partial 28S ribosomal RNA". The record is from RNAcentral. Lineage: Eukaryota; Metazoa; Arthropoda; Insecta; Lepidoptera; Hesperiidae.